GCUUGGCGGCGACCGGCGCAAGGGUGCGUAACGCGUGAGCAACAUGCCCGUAUCAGGGGGAUAAUCCAGGGAAACUUGGUCUAAUACCCCAUAGUAAUUUUGUAAGGCAUCUUAUAAGAUUUAAAGCUUUGGUGGAUACGGAUUGGCUCGCGUGACAUUAGCUGGAUGGUAAGGUAACGGCUUACCAUGGCUAUGAUGUCUAGGGGUUCUGAGAGGAAGGUCCCCCACACUGGAACUGAGACACGGUCCAGACUCCUACGGGAGGCAGCAGUGAGGAAUAUUGGACAAUGGAUGGAAAUCUGAUCCAGCCAUGCCGCGUGAAGGAAGAAGGUCCUAUGGAUUGUAAACUUCUUUUGUAUGGGAGCAAUAAGGCCUACGAGUAGGUUGAUGAGAGUACCAUACGAAUAAGCACCGGCUAACUCUGUGCCAGCAGCCGCGGUAAUACGGAGGGUGCAAGCGUUAUCCGGAUUUAUUGGGUUUAAAGGGUGCGUAGCCGGUUAUUUAAGUCAGUGGUUGAAAGUUUUCGGCUCAACCGG
RNAcentral lists this ribosomal RNA (536 nucleotides) under uncultured bacterium. Its description in RNAcentral is "bacterial SSU rRNA". It matches the Rfam family "Bacterial small subunit ribosomal RNA", at positions 83 to 616 of the family's 1533-position model. The record is from RNAcentral.